Molecule: non-coding RNA, 241 nt
Organism: Pelobates cultripes (western spadefoot toad)
Lineage: Eukaryota; Metazoa; Chordata; Amphibia; Anura; Pelobatidae
Source: the annotation of a GenBank genome assembly
CGAACCCGCCAUGGGAACAGGAGGGGACCACACCAAACGCAGCUGACCAUCCAACCCCUGGGACUCAUGCGUCAGCGCACCCUACUGCCACUGGGAAAGUAGAUGACAUAAACCCGCCUAGUGCGGACACCCAGCCAGCUCAGGAAAAGGGGACUCACCUGACGGCACCCCGGCACCAAUGGGACUCACCUGAUGGCACCAGUAGAAAUCUCGUAAUUGGAUUCCAGGGCUUGCACUGCAG